AGUCAUAAGAAAAUCGCGGUGAG
RNAcentral lists this non-coding RNA (23 nucleotides) under Cricetulus griseus (Chinese hamster). The record is from RNAcentral. Lineage: Eukaryota; Metazoa; Chordata; Mammalia; Rodentia; Cricetidae.